GAGGGUACAGCUCAGUGGUAGAGUGUAUGCUUAGCAUGCACGAGGUCCUGGGCUCAAUCCCCAGUACCUCUG
This 72-nucleotide transfer RNA is filed under the name Camelus bactrianus (Bactrian camel). It matches the Rfam family "tRNA". Rfam says of the family: Transfer RNA (tRNA) molecules are approximately 80 nucleotides in length. Their secondary structure includes four short double-helical elements and three loops (D, anti-codon, and T loops). The record is from Rfam by way of RNAcentral. RNAcentral also lists the same sequence under 3 other names. Lineage: Eukaryota; Metazoa; Chordata; Mammalia; Artiodactyla; Camelidae.